AAAAAAUAAAAAAUAAAAAAAAUCACUCUCCAGGUGUAUUAAUGAGACACGUCCAACACGGUGCCAAUACUUUAUUAUCAACUCGCUACACGGGAAGUACAGGUGUAUACGUAUGGCUGUGCAGGUGUGUGUGGGGUCCGGCAGGUGGCUCAGGUACCAUGGCUGCUCACCUUAAUUAACACGCCUCACCUGCGCGCCACCUGAGACCUUACAGAGUACAAUGCUGGGUCGGACAGAGGCUUAGUGUCGAGGUUUAGAGAUUCCUUUUUUUCUGAGAGGAUUUUCACUUGGGAUUAAAAUUACGAGGUGAGGAUUUUCUAGAGGUUACAUCAUUAUAUAUGUUGGUGAUGUUACUAGUUGGAAUACAUACAUAAACAAGUAAAUGAUAACAAUAGCACAGUGCUUGGUUUGACAGGUUUGGAGUUUGUUUUCUGGGAGUAUUUCCUCUUCGGAUUAGAAUUUCAAUGAGAGAUGUUUUAGAGAAGCUACAUCAUUGACAUUUUGGUGUGAUGUUACUCGUUGCAAUACACACAUACAUAGAUAAUUAGAUACAUGUAAAUAUACAUAAGAAUAAAUAUAAAUAAACGUACGGUCCUUUUUGUUUUGUUUAUGUUGCCCUUGAGCUGCUUCCAUUGCUGUGAGAGAAAGAUGAACCGGCCUACGUAGAACUUGUACUGCUUUUCUUUUUAAUUUUUUUUUGUUCCAUAAGGUUAUUUUAAAAGUAAUACAAGUCUGUCUAAAUGAAACAUAUUUACCCACAUAAUACCAAGCAAUCUUACACGGCAUUACUUUUAUUGUUUAUACCAUAGAGUUAUCGUUUUCAAAGUAAUGUAAGUCUGUCUAAAUUAAACAUAUCGACCCACAUAGUGCCAAUCAAUCUUACACGGCAUUACUUUUAUUGUUUAUACCAUAGAGUUAUCGUUUUCAAAGUAAUACAAGCCUGUCUAAAUUAAACAUAUUGACCCACAUAAUACCAAGCAAUCUUACACGGCAUUACUUUUAUUGUUUAUACCAUAGAGUUAUCGUUUUCAAAGUAAUACAAGCCUGUCUAAAUGAACAUCUGAAAUCAAAUAAAGUAAAGCACAUCACAACAAUUCCUCAAGUCAACGAAGCACUAUUUGAGUUCAUCACAGGUACAACUCAAACUGACCCUUAAGGGACGGGUAUCGUAUUUUUGAGUGAAAAAUCAACCAAUAUAAAAAAAUGGAUUUACACUAGCACUGAGGAAUCGAGUGUACUUUUGGAUACUCAAGUGUAGUAAGCUUCAAGGCGAUGCAUGAAAACGAAAGGCACACACACACAAAAAAAGCUGUGAAAAAUUGCCUAUAAAUACCGUAACUUUGACUGCCUAAAACUUCAAUAGAUUAUAUCAUUUGACAAUAAAAAACAACAACAGUGAACAGAUUAAUCCCUUAAAUUACAAGUCAUAAAUAUAUAAACAAGUCAUAAAAUCUAAACAAGUCAAAUAUCUAAGCAAGUCAUAAAUAUCUAAACUAAAUGAAAAUGUAAGCAAAGGGAACACAACUGGAAGCACAUGAUCGUUACGUGGUAUUUAUGCUUCCCCUCCGCCUGUCCGUCACGCGCCGCCCAUCACCGAACACGUCCUGACACACCGGCCUCAGCGGAUCAGCGCGGCGUAUCAAUAAACACAAACUGAUUGAUGCAGAGACUCCCCUUAAUCGAUAUUUAGCCAAUAAUCGGACGCACACUUCAAAAUCUAUUAUCAGAAAUUACAGCCGUUCUGCCCUAUACAAGUCGUAAGGUAAUGGUGUCAUAUUAUUAACAACCCCGCCUCUGACCACUCCCCUAACCACUCGCAGAAAAAAACGAUGUACAUAUUCUUUUCUCUAAUGGUUUGAAAAUAAAGAUGAAUAUAAAUACCUUUCCCCCGUAUAAAUAAACAAACUGAUUGAUGCAGACUCCCCUUAACAACCCCGCCUCUGACCACUCCCCUAACCACUCGCAGAAAAAAAAUUAUGUACAUAUUCUUUUCUCUAAUGGUUUUAAAAUAAAGAUGAAUAUAAAUACCUUUCCCCUAACAUGGUGAACUUUACAAAACUUUCCAUAUAGAUAAUCACAAACUGUUUGAUGAAGAGACCUCCCCUUGACAACCCCGCUCCGUCUCCUCCUCACAGUUCAGGAAGAAAACGACAAAUAUAUUUUUUCCCUAAUUGUCUUCAAGCAGAUAAAUAUACAUAGGCCUACUUUUCCCCCACGUGUCCAAACAUGACGAGCGUUACAAAAUAUCUCAAUAUAAAUAUAAACUGAUGUUGAUACUCCCCUUCAACAGCCCACCCUUACCGCCCACUCACGGAUCUCGCAAUAAAAGAUGCAUAUAUUUUUUUACCUUUGAUGAUCUAAAAAUAAAGAUGAAUAUGAAUCCCUUUCCCCAAACCUGAUUACCUUUGCAAAACUAUGUAUAUAAAUCAACAACAACAACAAAAAAAAAAUUGAUGUAGAUACUUCCCUUAUAACAACC
Long non-coding RNA from Eriocheir sinensis (Chinese mitten crab), 2479 nucleotides. RefSeq lists it as uncharacterized. NCBI's taxonomy places the organism in Eukaryota, Metazoa, Arthropoda, Malacostraca, Decapoda, Varunidae. The transcript is spliced from 2 exons. The record is from RefSeq and is a predicted model, not a curated record.